RNAcentral lists this ribosomal RNA (372 nucleotides) under uncultured organism. RNAcentral describes it as "partial 16S ribosomal RNA". It matches the Rfam family "Bacterial small subunit ribosomal RNA", at positions 527 to 896 of the family's 1533-position model. The record is from RNAcentral.
GUAGGUGGCAAGCGUUGUCCGGAAUUAUUGGGCGUAAAGCGCGCGCAGGCGGUUCUUUAAGUCUGAUGUGAAAGCCCACGGGCUCAACCGUGGAGGGUCAUUGGAAACUGGAGAACUUGAGUACAGAAGAGGAAAGCGGAAUUCCACGUGUAGCGGUGAAAUGCGUAGAGAUGUGGAGGAACACCAGUGGCGAAGGCGGCUUUCUGGUCUGUAACUGACGCUGAGGCGCGUAAGCGUGGGGAGCAAACAGGAUUAGAUACCCUGGUAGUCCACGCCGUAAACGAUGAGCGCUAAGUGUUAGGGGGUUUCCGCCCCUUAGUGCUGCAGCUAACGCACUAAGCACUCCGCCUGGGGAGUACGGCCGCAAGGCUG